This 6579-nucleotide long non-coding RNA is filed under the name Triticum aestivum (bread wheat). RNAcentral's name for it is "long non-coding RNA (TAES_LNC025106)". The record is from RNAcentral. Lineage: Eukaryota; Viridiplantae; Streptophyta; Magnoliopsida; Poales; Poaceae.
CGGUGGUGUGCUUCCCGUGAGCACUGCGAUUGCCCUAGAUCGGAAGGGGAUAUCGGUGGGGAGUCUGGCGGCGCGGUGAACCUCGUACCGUGCGCCCCGGCCCCCACCUCUUUAUAUAUCGCAGGUCACAGGGGCCCACCAACCAUAGAACGGUUGGGCGCCCCCGAUCAGGGCGCGAAUAGCUCAGGGCCCGAAGGGCCGUUGAGCCCACUCGGUGGAGAGAUCAACCUAACAUUCUCCCCCUUGAUCUCAACUUUUACUUUUGAGCUUAUACUUUCUAGUUUAUUUGUUUCAUCACAUAUUGGUACAUAGAGCAUGUUUCAUCAUCACAGCUUAAUUGCCAUUAGAAUCAUACAGCUACAACAUACAUUAUGACCAGAAGCAAAUUCGGUUCCUUUUGGGCCUAUCCAGGAAUCAUAAGGCUUUCCCUUAAACCCAUGCCGGCUAUGAGUUCCUUGAACACAUUGGGUGGUAAGCCUUUCGUUAGCGAGUCCGCAAGCAUAUCCUUUGUCCUUAUAUGCUCGAGACUUAUAGUUUGAUCCUGGAUUUUAUCUUUCACAACAUAAUACCUUAUCUCUAUUGUUUUGGCAGCAUUACUCGACUUGUUGUUGUGAGCGUAAAAUACUGUGGGUUGGUUGUCGCAAUACAUCUUUAGUGGCUUGUGAAUACAAUCUACCACUUUCAAGUCGGGUACAAAUUUCUUUAGCCAUAUCGCCUGCCCCGUGGCUUCGAAGCAUGCUAUGAAUUCUGCAUACAUCGUGGAUGAUGCAACUAUUGACUGUUUGGAGCUUUUCCACGAAAUAGCUCCCCUAGCGAGAGUGAAGACGUAUCCUGACGUGGAUUUUCUAUCUUCUCUGUCCCCCGCAAAAUCUGUGUCUCAAUACCCUUUUAUCUCUAGAGAUUCACUUCUCCUGUAUAUUAGCAUGUAGUCCUUCGUGCCUUGCACAUAACGCAAUGCUUUCUUUACCAUCUUCCAGUGCUCCAUGCCUGGAUUCUCUUGAUAUCGACCGAGUACCCCGGUGAUAAAGCUAAGUCAGGGCGAGUGCACACCUGUGCAUACUAUAAGCUGCCAACUGCCGAAGUAUAUGGUACUGCUUUCAUUUGAUCGAUCUCGUAUUGGUUCUUGGGACAUUGGAAUUUCCCAAAACUAUCGCCCUUGACUAUAGGAGCAGGUGUGGCUUUACUCGCAUGCAUAUUAUACUUUUUAAGAACCUUUUCUAAAUAUGCUUUAUGCGAUAGUCCUAAGACUCCACUGUUCCUAUCUCGGUGAAUUUCCAUGCCCAAAACAUAUGAUGCUUCACCAAGAUCUGUUAUGUCAAAAUUUGAGGAUAAGUAUUUCUUUGUUUCUUGUAGUAGACUAACAUCACUACUAGCAAGCAGGAUAUCAUCCACAUACAAGAUUAGGAAAAUAUAUUUCCCAUUUUUAAACUUUGCAUAAAUGCAAUUAUCCUCAAUAUUUUCUUUAAAUCCAAAACUUUUAAUCGUUUGAUUAAACUUUAGAUACCUCUGCCGAGAGGCUUGUCUUAAUCCAUAAAUGGAUUUCUUCAGGCGGUAUCCCAUAUUUUCCUUGCCUUCCAUGAUAAAACCCUUAGGCUGUUUCAUGUAGACAUUUUCUUUUAAAUCACCAUUCAGAAAUGCCGUCUUAACAUCCAUUUGAUGUAAUUCUAAAUCAAAAUGAGCAACUAAUGCCAUUAUGAUUCUGAAGGAAUCCUUACAUGAGACUGGAGAAAAUAUCUCAUUGUAAUCUAUCCCUUAUCUUUGUGUAAAUCCUUUUGCCACGAGUCGUGCUUUAUACUUUUCUAUAUUCCCUUUAGAGUCAUACUUAAUUUUGUAGACCCAUUUACAGCCUACUGUUUUGGCUCCUUUAGGAAUUUUCUCUAAGUCCCAAACAUCUUUGGAACUCAUCGAUUUCAUCUUGUCUUCCAUUGCCUUCAUCCACAUCGAUGAAUGAGGGCUUCUCAUGGCUUCUUCAUAUGAGGUGGGAUCUUUUUCCAUAUAAACCGUUUAUGUGUUAUAAACUUUAAAGUCAGUAGAAAUAGCUGACUUUCUUGGUCUUGUAGACCUUCUUAGGGCCUUAUUUUCUGGCACGUUCUGUGCCUCAACUUCUGGCACUUCUUCUAAAAUUUGCUAUUGCACCUCCCUUUCAUGCUCAACAAUGGGUUCAGUCGGCUCCUGACGGACAGGUUCCGGGUGUACCCCCAAGGUUGUCAUGGGUGGAGUUGCAACUGGUAGUGAGAAAAAUGGCUCCUGAAUCAUCGGAUUAGGUGCAUGCACCCCCUCAUCAUUUCGUCCUCAAAGAAGACUGUAUGUCUUGUUUCUACAAACUUUGUAUAUCUGUUUGGGCAGUAGAAACGAAAACCUUUUGAUCUGUCUGGAUAGCCAAUGAAGUGGCAACUAACUGUUUUGGGAUCUAACUUUGCAAUGUUUGGAUUAAACAUUUUGGCCUCAGCAGGGCACCCCCACACCCUGAAGUGUUGUAGGGAGGGUACCCUUCUUGUCCAUAGCUCGUACGGUGUUUUGGGCACCGACUUGCUUGGUACUCUAUUGAUAAUGUGAAUGGCGGUUUUAAGCGCCUCCAUCCAUAAUCCCAAUGGCAAGUUGGAAUAACUCAUCAUGCUGCGCACCAUAUCCAUAAGUGUACGGUUGCGCCUUUCAGCUACUCCAUUUUGCUGAGGUUUACCCGGCAUUGAAUACUGGGCAACUAUGCCAGUCUCCUGUAAGAACUUUGCAAAAGGUCCAGGGACUUGGCCAUAUGGAGUGUGCCGAUCGUAGUACUCUCCCCCACGGUCGGACCUUACUAUCUUUAUUCUUUUAUCAUGCUGAUUUUCAACUUCAGCUUUGAAUAUUUUAAAUUUAUCCAAUGCUUCAGAUCUUUCUUUGAUUGGAUAAAUAUAACCAUAGCGAGAGUAAUCAUCUGUGAAUGUUAUGAACGAGUCAUAUCCAUCCACACUUUUCACCGGAAAUGGUCCACAAAUGUCGGUGUGGAUGAUUUCUAGUGUGCUUGAGCUAUAGAUUGCACCUUUUUUGAUUUGUUUUAUAUACUUUCCUUUAAUGCAAUCUACACAUUGUUCUAAGUCUGAGAAUUCUAACUGUGGAAGAAUUUCACUUUUGACUAAUCUUUCUAUUCUCCCCUUCGAAAUAUGGCCCAAGCGACAGUGCCAUAAUUUCGAUGAGUCGAAUGUUCUCUUUCUUUUCUUUUGUUCUUUAUUCGACGCGGAAACAUGUUCAUUCACAUUGCAUACGGAAUGCACUUUUUCACGAAGUGAUAACAAAUAAAGCUCAUCAUGUAGUAAAGCAUUACCAACAUAAGCAUUAUUAUACCAGAUGGCACACUUGCCAUGUCCAAAAUAACACUCAUAAUUUUCUUUGUCUAAACAUGAAAUGCUAAUUAAGUUUCUAUUACAUGAAGGAACAUAAAGAACAUCUCUAAGUAGAAGCUUGAAUCCAUCAGCUAACUCCAAGGAGAUGUCGCCGGCAGCUUCAACUUCUGCUUUUAUUCCAUUGGCUACUUCAAUGCCUCCUUCUCUUCUUAGCGUAGUCCGGGUCGAAUGGAAUCCCUGUAAACAAUUUGCAACAUGAACAGUUGCCCCUGAGUCAAUCCACCAAGUAGAUUCCAAAAACUGUGUGUACACGGAUUCAUUUACUAAGGAAACAAUGUUGUUACCUUGCUUUGCCAUUAAGGACUUCAGCCAAACAGGGCAGUCUUUCUUGUAAUGCCCGGUCUGCUUACAGUGGAGACAAGUGUCUUUGUCCACUGGGAAAGACUGUUGCUGACGCUGAUGCUAAUAGGGAGCUUUUCCUUGUGGCUUUGAAGGAGAACUUUUGUUGUUUUGACUGUAGUUUUUUUCUUAUGAUCCUUCACAUAGUUGAGUGUUCCACCAUGUGAAGCUUUUAGUCUGUCCUCUUCUUGGACACACAUAGCAAUUGUCUUUUCUAUGUCCCAUGUUCCAGGUGACAUAUUAUAAUUCACAACAAAAGUUUCAAACUCCUUUGGCAGUGAAGCCAUGACAAGGUGGAUCAGGAGCUUUGGUUUGAUCUCCAGAUCCUCAUCCAUAGGCUUUAACUUUGCUGCCAUAUUGCUCAUCCUCAAGAUGUGCUCUCUUAUUCCACCACCCGUGUACUGUUCCGUCACAAGUUGUUUUAACACCUGAGUGGCAUAUAUCUUUGAAGAGCCAGUGAACUGGCUCUUUAUCUUUGUCAGCAACUCAGCUGCUGAAGUGCACUCUGCAAUGGAGCCCACAAUGUUGCUCUCAAUGGUAUUCUUUAUAAAGGCCAUGCAUUUUUUAUUUGCAUUGACCCACUUUUGGUUGGCUAUGAUGUAGGACAUCUCCAAAGGAGCAUAAUCCCCUUUCCUUUUAGCCCAUGCAGCAUCAUCCUCAGUAGUCCUCUUACUGGCUCUGUAGGUCUGACCGACUGUGGUUCUUCCAGAACCCAGUCCAGAUCAGCACAAACAAAUGCCAGUUCAACUUUCUUCCUCCACUCAGUAUGUUUGUCAUCUCUGAGUGUCGGAACUUCUUUUAGGCAACUCAUCAAGUGAAAGCCUCCUGAAAUCACAAUUUAAGUGACAUCAAUAUAACAAUCAUAUGCAUUAAUCUAACGUUGGUCAAAUUAAACAUAUAAUUGUCUAUGCAAAUAAAUCUAUAUUACCGUUGGGCAAAAUAUUAGAAAUAAAUGCACCUUUAAUUUCAAUAAUAAAAUAUGGUCAUGUUAUUAACAACGUUGGUCAUAAGAAUAACAUAAACAUAUUUAUUCUAAUUAUAACUUUAACAUGCUCUUUUAAUACAUCUCUCUAAACUUUUAUUUUCAAGAAAAAGAGCAAUAUUAAUUCUGUCCACAGCGGAAAAACAUGAAUAAAAUCAUGAACUUUUUAUUAUUUGCAGAAUUUUUUUUGAUCAAAUGAAAAAAUUCAUGAACUUAUUUAAUAAAAAUUCAUGAACAAUUCUUUUUCUGGAAAUUUUCUUUUUAUAUUUCCAAAGACUUUUAUACCUUUCUAUAUUUUCUAAACAAUAAAUUUCGCUGGAAAUAUGUAUUGCAUAGAAAACAAAAAACAAGACUUUUGAAUCUGCCCAAAACUGGACAGAAAACAUUAAAAGGAAAAAGCCUCAGACAGCUGUUGCCCCGCGGGCCUACUCGGCUCGCCGCGCUGUGCUAGCCGGCCCAGCCGCUCUGUCUUUCGGCCUGGUCCGCGGUCACUUUCGGCCCAAAAGGCCAGUGGGAGACUAGGGUUUUCAUCUGGACCGUCCAUCACGAUCGACGGCUGUCCGCUAAUUUCGCUGGAACAAAACAGAGAGUCCGAUCCCAGUCCAACCCUAGCGCCCCCACUCUCUACUCGAUCUGUUUCUCUGCUCGCUCAGUCUCUCCCGACGGCGGAGGAAACAAGGCUCGGCCACCGACCGUCCAGCCCGACCGCCGGCGACGGGGGCUAGAGCCACCGCGCCGCGCUAGCGCCUCCUUUCCGUUCCCCUUUCCUUUUCUCCACCUACUAUGGCAGAAAGGACCAGGCCCGGCUGCGCACGCUCUCCCUGCGCCGUUCGCGUCGUCCACCGGCCGGUCCUGCCGCCGGCGACGGGGAGCCGCGCCUCUCUUCCUUCCCCGUAGGGAGGUUUCGGCCGACGUCGCGCCAGCGACGGCGAGUUCAUGCCGCCGCGGCCACCCCGUCCUCUUUCCCCUUCCCGUUUCUGUCUUCUCCAUCUCCACUCCAACAGAGGGAGAGAGAGAUAUACUCCGACGGUGCCGUUGCCUCCCCUUCGCCGGUGGCACAUUUCCCUUAGCGGAAGCGUGCCGCUAUCGAACGGCGUGGCUGCGGUGCCAACUUUGAGCUUUUCCUUUGCCCUGUGAGGGGUGGAACCUUCGUCCGACGCCUCGGCUUGCCGAUGCGCGUCGAGAUCGAGAGGGUCGGCGCGGCCUUACGGCGACACUCUUUGCCGGCGAGGCCUGAGGCCCUCUCUGGUGGUCUUUGCCCUGUUCUAGGGUUCUUUUGGGGAGAGGGAUUUCUUUUUUUUGUCUGUUUUUUGUUUCUUUGUACCGAAAUCAUCUAGCCAGUGGCAUCUGAUACCAUUGAUAGAUCCUAUGGAUCGAGGUAGGCUAGAUCUUUCUGGUAACCUACCUUCCUUGGGUGCGGAUGAGCUCGAUCCAGCUCCUGCCAUGGUGGUGUGGUGACGGUGGCGCUGUGGACAGAGAUGGCGGCGGUGGUGUGCUUCCCGUGAGCACUACGAUUGCCCUAGAUCGGAAGGGGAUAUCGGUGAGGAGUCUGGCGGCGCGGUGAACCUCGUACCGUGCGCCCCGGCCCCCACCUCUUUAUAUAUCGCAGGUCACCGGGGGCCACCAACCAUAGAACGGUUGGGCGCCCCCGAUCAGGGCGCGAAUAGAUCAGGGCCCGAAGGGCCGUUGAGCCCACUCGGUGGAGAGAUCAACCUAACAAUCUAUUCACGAGCUUGACACCCAGUUGGUUAGUUUCAACAUUCCUGGUUAAUUAAUAUAUAGUUGGCACUAUGGAAUGAAGUAGAAGAGUUUGGUUACGAUAUCUUCCAAAUUUAAAUUUAUCAAAAGAUCUAAAUAGAUUACAAAGUGGGAUUCUUG